This 23-nucleotide non-coding RNA is filed under the name Gallus gallus (chicken). The record is from RNAcentral. Lineage: Eukaryota; Metazoa; Chordata; Aves; Galliformes; Phasianidae.
AUGCAGAAGUGCACGGAAACAGC